Labeo rohita (rohu) is the source of this 1198-nucleotide long non-coding RNA. RefSeq lists it as uncharacterized. The transcript has 3 exons. Lineage: Eukaryota; Metazoa; Chordata; Actinopteri; Cypriniformes; Cyprinidae. The record is from RefSeq and is a predicted model, not a curated record.
AAUGAUUUGUUUCAAGCAUCAUUUUUAAAAAAAAUAUAUUUACCUUUAAUAUAUAAUAUAAAAUUAUUUAUAUAUUAUAUUGUAGAAAAUAGAUUGAAUGAGCUGUAAAUGUAAAUGGUUGUUGCACGGUUGUUCUUAGAAUAAUCUGUAAUAGUAACCUUUUAUGCAGCUAAUUAAGACAAACUUCCUGUGUUGCUUUGCAUGUAUUUGAUGCUCUUUUAACUGCAGAUCAUUAACAUGCAUCUGGUUCCUCCUGACAGCAGCAGACUAGAGUCUGUUCACCCAUCGAUGUCCUGAACUCUAAAAAGUGUGUGUAAGUGUGUGUGUGAUUGCAUGUGUGCAUGACUGCAAUGCAUGGUCCAUGUUUGUGUAAUGUAGUUUUUAUGUAAGCAAUGCACAUACUGUACAUAACUUGUGUGUGUAAUUGCAUAUACAAGUGUGCAAUUUGUGAAUGUGUAUGUCAUGCAUAAUGCAUGCAGCAUGUUUGUGCACAUACUUGUGAUUUGUUUAUGUGCAUAUGUGUGUGAUUUAUUUGUCGAUUUGUGUGCAUUGUGAAAUAUGCAUAGUGAUUUGUUUGUGUUUGCGUAUGUGUGUGAAUAAUACAUAUAGCAUGUGAUUGCAUGUGAGCGAUCGUGUGAAUAAUGCAUCCUCUGCCUCUCCACAGCAUCUGUAGGACUUGAUGACAUCAUUAAGGCGCAGCAACACUUAGCAUGCAUGCUAAUUGCGUGUCCUUUCUUUCAGUGCAUCGUUUUGCACAUUUUAUUCUCUGGGUUUUCUCCCUCAAAUCACCAUCCGUAUCCUGCCUGCGCUGGUCUCUGCUCUGCUAGUUUGUCAGAUGGUCUUGAGAGAAUUCGUAAAAAGCCAGAGAAGAGGACAAGAGAGCAGCCGAAAGACAUAAGUGAGAUCUCUGAUUGAGGUCCUUGAAAAUAAAAAAAAUAUAGUGCUUGAAAAGUCCUUGAAAGUCCUGUCAUUCUGACGGCACCCAUUCACAUCCAUUGGUGAGCAAGUGAUGCAAGGCUGCAUUUCUCCAAAUGUGAUGAAGAAACAAACUCAGCUACAUCUUGGAUGGCCUGAGGGCCACAAUCAAACACUUGUCUUCAAAACGGCAAUUUACACACUCAGGCUUUGUUCUCAGCGAGCCGUAAGAGUCCUCGGCCGGGCUGGAGGAGCUGAGAGAGGCGUUUGAGAUCAGAGAGAG